AGGACGAACGCUGGCGGCGUGCUUAACACAUGCAAGUGGAGCGACGAACCAGGGCUUGCCCUGGGGCAGAGCCGCGAACGGGUGAGUAACACGUGGGUUACCUGCCUCGAUGACCGGGACAACCCGAGGAAACUCGGGCUAAUACCGGAUGUGCCCGCAAGGGGAAAGGAAGCUUCGGCCUCCGCAUCGAGAUGGGCCCGCGGCCCAUUAGCUUGUUGGUGAGGUAACGGCUCACCAAGGCUUCGAUGGGUAGCUGGUCUGAGAGGACGAUCAGCCACACUGGGACUGAGACACGGCCCAGACUCCUACGGGAGGCAGCAGUGGGGAAUCUUGCGCAAUGCGCGAAAGCGUGACGCAGCAACGCCGCGUGGGGGAAGAAGGCUCUCGGGUUGUAAACCCCUUUCAGUUGGGACGAAGCUUCGUCGGUUAAUAGCCGACUGGAGUGACGGUACCUUCACAAGAAGCACCGGCUAACUACGUGCCAGCAGCCGC
This 492-nucleotide ribosomal RNA is filed under the name uncultured bacterium. RNAcentral describes it as "SSU rRNA". It matches the Rfam family "Bacterial small subunit ribosomal RNA", at positions 26 to 518 of the family's 1533-position model. The record is from RNAcentral.